Herpailurus yagouaroundi (jaguarundi) is the source of this 1141-nucleotide long non-coding RNA. RefSeq lists it as uncharacterized. Lineage: Eukaryota; Metazoa; Chordata; Mammalia; Carnivora; Felidae. The record is from RefSeq and is a predicted model, not a curated record. The transcript is spliced from 5 exons.
CCCUCUCCUGCCCCUGCCGGGGGUGGGGAGACAAGACGCGGACCGGAGGGGGCGCCCAGAACGCUGGGGGCUGCAGCCUGUGGACCCCCGAAGGCUCCCAGCAGCGGUCGUCCGGAGGUGACAGGGCCUGAUCCCGGGGCCUCCGCGGGCGCCGGAGCCCUCCGCGGACCCGGAGCGAGGGGAGGUGCGCGAGGGCGCCCGGUGCUGCGGCAAGCGGGUCUCCCGGGGCGCUCCGAAGACACCGCCCCGGGGCGGAGACGAAGACGCGGUCCUCCCGGGACAAGAGACCAGCCUGAGAAAGGGCGGUAUAGCUUCCAGUCUCCACAACAGCCCUAUGAGAUCCCACUCACACCCCUUCCCCAAAUUAUGUCAGAGGCUAUAAAGGAUGCCACAGCCCUAUGCUGCCCUGGAGGCCAGGGCACCGCCCUGCAAGGUUUCUCAGGCACCGAAGGCUGAGCUGAGUGGAGAGAGGAGUCCUGGACGCCCUGUUGAGAAAGACAGACUGGGGGUUGCAGCAGCUGAAGAUCACAAGAGAGAAGCAGAUAUCCAAACCCUGGUCUUCCUGCACUAAAGCCCUCAGCUGAUACACCGAACUGCGUCCCAGAAAAAGCACCAAGCACUGCACAAAUGGAAAGCAUUUUGUCAAAAUUAUGAUUAUAAACUCAUGCCCGAUUCGUGAGUUACAAAAACAAAACGUAAACAGCACAGCCUGAGUUGUUAAAGCGACUUUUUUCUAAAAGCUCAACGUGCUUUCACUUCAUGGUCUCUCUUCUCCUAAUUUUAUGAUUGUCGUUUUUCUAACCGUUCUCUAAGAGCGCGGUCUCCCAACACUCCUCGGAGGAAAGGAGGAAAUAAGCAGAAGUCAAACCGUAUUACAAUCAGUUCCCAGGGAACAGUGGGAGACUGUGCUUCACUGGGCUUUGGUGUUGCAAAAUAUCACUUGACAAAAAAAUUGGAAGCAACUUAGAUGGUUAUCAGCAGGAUGGAGUCAGCUAGGGGAUCAUUCUAAACAACCAUCCAGAGAUGUAGCAACAUGAAAAUAAUGCUUACAGUAUAGUUGUGAGCAAAAAGGAGAAGACAAAAAACACUGUGCAUGCACUCUGUCCUUGCAACCACUAAAAAUAAAUAUAAGUGCUCGUGA